UAAUCUGUCUAGUGUAAAUCUUCAUCUAGUUGGGGUAGAUUCACAUAUGACUACUCAGAAUCACGUGUUAUCGCAGGUCCGACUAUAUUAGUCUUUCUUUGGUGAUUUUGAAAAAAAAUAUAUAAAUAUUCCUUUUUAUA
Molecule: non-coding RNA, 140 nt
Organism: Populus trichocarpa (black cottonwood)
Lineage: Eukaryota; Viridiplantae; Streptophyta; Magnoliopsida; Malpighiales; Salicaceae
Source: Rfam